RNAcentral lists this ribosomal RNA (368 nucleotides) under uncultured organism. RNAcentral describes it as "bacterial SSU rRNA". It matches the Rfam family "Bacterial small subunit ribosomal RNA", at positions 526 to 896 of the family's 1533-position model. The record is from RNAcentral.
CGAAGGUCCCAAGCGUUAUCCGGAUUUAUUGGGUUUAAAGGGUGCGUAGGCGGCUUAUUAAGUCAGUGGUGAAAGCUCCAUGCUUAACGUGGGAAUUGCCAUUGAUACUGAUGAGCUUGAGUAGAUUUGAGGCGGGCGGAAUGUGUCGUGUAGCGGUGAAAUGCUUAGAUAUGACACAGAACACCGAUUGCGUAGGCAGCUCGCUAAACUCUUACUGACGCUGAGGCACGAAAGCAUGGGGAUCAAACAGGAUUAGAUACCCUGGUAGUCCAUGCCCUAAACGAUGAUUACUCGAUGUGUGCGAUAUACUGUACGCGUCUGAGCGAAAGCAUUAAGUAAUCCACCUGGGGAGUACGGCCGCAAGGCUG